CGACGGCGGGUACAAUCAGCAGCAGCAAUAGACCAGGGACGAUCAUCCCCAACGCCCAAAUGCCCCAGUCGAGAUGUACACCCAAAAUUUUAUCGGCGAAAUCCGCGGUAAGAAGAUUCGGAGCCAUCGCCGUAAUGAAGAUGAAGCUACUGACCUUCAUGACAAAGUAAAUGUUAGACAUCAAAUAGGAACCCGCUUUCUUGGAUGUUUCACCGGGUUCCGAGCCCAGGGCUUUCACCACCGAAAGAAUAAU
Molecule: antisense RNA, 253 nt
Filed under: Brenneria goodwinii
Lineage: Bacteria; Pseudomonadati; Pseudomonadota; Gammaproteobacteria; Enterobacterales; Pectobacteriaceae
Description: Yersinia sRNA 283
Rfam family: Yersinia sRNA 283
About the family: Identified in transcriptional profiling by RNA seq.
Source: Rfam by way of RNAcentral